GACGAACGCUGGCGGCGUGCUUAACACAUGCAAGUGGUGCGACGAACCAGGCUUCGGCCUGGGGCAGAGCCGCGAACGGGUGAGUAACACGUGGGCAACCUGCCCUGUUGAUCGGGACAACCCGGGGAAACCCGGGCUAAUACCGAAUGUGGUGCCGGCUCAUGAGAGCCGUCACGAAAGGAAGCUUCGGCCUCCGCGACAGGAUGGGCCCGCGGCCCAUUAGCUUGUUGGUGGGGUAAUGGCCUACCAAGGCAACGAUGGGUAGCUGGUCUGAGCGGACGAGCCGCAGCAAUGGGACUGAGACACGGCCCAGACUGCUCCGGGAGGCUGACGUGGGGAAUCUUUCGCAAUGGGCGACAGCUUGACGCAGCAACGCCGCUGGAGGGAAGAAGGCUUUCGGGUCGUAAACCUCUUUCAGUUAGGACGAAGCUUUAUUGGUUAAUAACCAAUUGGAGUGACGGUACUUUCAGAAGAAGCCCCGGCUAACUACGUGCCAGCAGCCGCCGUAA
Molecule: ribosomal RNA, 509 nt
Filed under: uncultured bacterium
Lineage: Bacteria
Description: partial 16S ribosomal RNA
Rfam family: Bacterial small subunit ribosomal RNA
Source: RNAcentral